GAUUUUUCGAGCUGGGGAUUUGCAUCCUGAUCUUGUUGAACACGGCGAGCGUGGGGUACCAGGCGGACUGGGCCGUCAAAAACGUGGGCGCGGAGGAGCCUCGGUUCUUCCGCGUCGU
This 118-nucleotide non-coding RNA is filed under the name Scrippsiella trochoidea. Lineage: Eukaryota; Dinophyceae; Peridiniales; Peridiniaceae. The record is from RNAcentral.